AUUGAAGUAAAAAUGCGAGGAAUAACCCUUUUGAAAUUUCUGUCAAUAUAUAUGCACUGGGGAGUGACUAAACUACUUGCAUCUCAAGUCUUUUUUCUCUUUAUCAAUGGGAGUUUUACAUUUUAUACAGUGGGUUGAUUUUCAUUCUGGGUUUUUGUCAUUUGAUGUCAAUACAUCGACACAACUGUUGGAUUUGUUGUUAAUUGGCCGAUGACACUCGGGUACGUGUGACCGACACCUGUACGUUCUGCAUGAUAGAGAGAGAUUGAAAGAUAAGUGAACAAGUGGAUGAGAAUGAACAGAGAAAGGGAGAAGAAGGGUUUUUUUUUUUUUUUUUUCCUUUCCCUUUGUUGUUGUGCUUGACAGGUUGGGGGUGGGUUUUUUUUAGCUGAAAACGGCAUGAUUGUGGAAUUACAAGGUCUUACUUUUGGUACUUUUUUUGCCCUAAAUGGGUGUUUGGUCUUGUUUUCAGAUCUGACUCGUACCUUCAAUUAAAAUUUGUUUUUGUUUCUAAGUGAAACAGUUUCCUUAUAUGGCAAAAGCUUUACCUUCUUUGGGACAGAGAAAUUGACAGAAGAGAGUGAGCACACAGAGGUAUUUGUAUAAAGCUUAUACUAAUGCUUUUGCGUGCUCACUUCUCUUUCCGUCAGCUUCCAGUGCCGGGAGUUGAUUUUUAAUUCCCCGUUUUGGUCAUAUCUCGGCCUGUUUUUGUUCCAUAUAUUCUCUCUCCCUCCAUUCUCAGAAGAGUUCAAUUUGGCUGGCACCAAUGAAGGUGGUUUAGUGGCAAAACGAUGAAUAUGGGACCAUUCACGUUACCUCUUGCCUACUAAUAGCUAGAAGACACUGAUUUUGAGUUUUUGCAACACUGGAUCAAGUUUUGUUCUUUCUACUACUUUGUUCUUGUUGUGUAUCAAACAACUUAAUAUGCUUACAAGUUACAACACUGUACUUUGUUGUAGUCUUUAUUAUUUCUUGUAUCUCCAAAAGCAUUUUCAGCUCUAUAAUUGACUGUAGUAAGGCAAAAACUUCCAUGCAAUCAACAAAUUUCAAACUACAAUAAGAUUAUGUUUUCUUUUAGGAAAUGAAA
This is a long non-coding RNA of Gossypium arboreum, 1087 nucleotides long. RefSeq lists it as uncharacterized. The transcript is spliced from 3 exons. NCBI's taxonomy places the organism in Eukaryota, Viridiplantae, Streptophyta, Magnoliopsida, Malvales, Malvaceae. The record is from RefSeq and is a predicted model, not a curated record.